ACGGAGGGUGCGAGCGUUAAUCGGAAUUACUGGGCGUAAAGCGCGCGUAGGCGGUUUGUUAAGUCAGCUGUGAAAGCCCCGGGCUCAACCUGGGAACUGCAGUUGAUACUGGCCGACUAGAGUAUGAAAGAGGGAGGUAGAAUUCCAUGUGUAGCGGUGAAAUGCGUAGAUAUAUGGAGGAAUACCAGUGGCGAAGGCGGCCUCCUGGUUCAAUACUGACGCUGAGGUGCGAAAGCGUGGGGAUCAAACAGG
Molecule: ribosomal RNA, 252 nt
Filed under: uncultured bacterium
Lineage: Bacteria
Description: partial 16S ribosomal RNA
Rfam family: Bacterial small subunit ribosomal RNA
Source: RNAcentral